RNAcentral lists this long non-coding RNA (1207 nucleotides) under Marmota monax (woodchuck). The record is from RNAcentral. Lineage: Eukaryota; Metazoa; Chordata; Mammalia; Rodentia; Sciuridae.
CUUUGGAGUAUUAUGUAGACAGGGCAAUGAGUAUUUGAAUACUCAUCAGAAUCACUGGAAGAGUUUUAAAAGUCACCCCAGACCAACACCAUCAGCAUCUCCGGGAAGAGGGCCUGGGAAUGGGUAUUUAUUUGAACAUGUUUUAAGGUCAGUCUGUUCUGAUUCAGGUUUGUGGACCACCAUCCCUGAUGCUCCUUCCUGGCCAUCUCCAUUUUGGUCUGCUCGACUACCAUCUCCUAUUCUCAAUUCUUGCUUGGCACAUGAUUAUUUUGUAAGUUUUAAAUUCAAAAUUGUCCAUAUUCAUGCAUUGUGGGUUGGCAUGGUUAAAAACACCCAGUGGGGUUUCUGUUAUUUUUUAGAAAGGCAAUUUUAAGUUUUCCCAUUAAAUUGAAGUUUAGGAGGGUUCUGUUUUGCAAAAGGAGUCAGUGCUGAAGAAUGUGGCUGCUCCAGAAGCCUGUCUCCAAGGCAGUCUGUGAGAGUUCCAGGUUGCUGGGGUGACCGCAGCUGGGAGGCAGCUAUUGUAUUUAGAUGUCUUGCACUUAAUUCCCUUGCCAGCAGCUGGGAAUACCUGUUGGAAGAGGAGAGCUUCUUUCCCUCUGAUUUAAGAAGAGUAUGGAAAGUUUCUUUCCUCCAGCUCCAAAAGGAAUCAGGGGUCUGUGUUGGCUGCAGAGGGGAUCAUCUCUUUCUGCUUGUUCCCAAGGUGAAGAAAGAGGACCCAGAUGGGACUGGGACCUUCCUAACCAAUCAGAAGAGGAAAAACCCAACUAAGGCAGUUCCUUCAUCGAGCUGAAACAGACCUGGCUUUGCUUAUCUCUAAGGAUGUUAAUGGGCAGAGAGCCCUCUGUGACUGACCAGUGGAACUGAGUAAAUGCAAAAUGGCCACCUACAUGACCUCUGAUAGACCCCAAGCCUGUAUGCUAAGUAACACCCCCCCCCCCCACAAGAGUCCUGACAGUUGACAAAUGUCUUGACUUCGGACAGAAAGAGCCGUAAAAGGAACAGAAAGAGGUGGCACCCUAAUUCCUGAAAAGUCUCUAUUUAUUCCAAGAAUAGACAUGAGUAUUCUUCCCCUUUAUUGCCUAUCCUUCUCUUUCGUCUUUCACCCUGUAUCCAUGACUUCGCCAUCCCUGAAUGCAGAGGACUUGAAUCGUGAGCUAGACUCUAAUUCUCAGUCCUUUGAUUGCUGAAUAAACUUGCGCUACAGGUA